UACGGGGGGGGGCAAGCGUUGUUCGGAAUUACUGGGCGUAAAGGGCUCGUAGGCGGCCAACUAAGUCGGAUGUGAAAUCCCUGGGCUCAACCUAGGAACUGCAUUCGAAACUGGUCACCUAGAGUGAUGGAGAGGAAAGCGGAAUUCCCGGUGUAGAGGUGAAAUUCGUAGAUAUCGGGAGGAACACCAGUGGCGAAGGCGGCUUUCUGGACAUUUACUGACGCUGAGACGCGAAAGCGUGGGGAGCAAACAGG
RNAcentral lists this ribosomal RNA (254 nucleotides) under uncultured bacterium. RNAcentral describes it as "partial 16S ribosomal RNA". It matches the Rfam family "Bacterial small subunit ribosomal RNA", at positions 524 to 776 of the family's 1533-position model. The record is from RNAcentral.